CAUCCUGUUCUGGAUUCUUCUCUGCAGAUGCAGAUCUUUGUGAAGACAUUGACUGGCAAGACCAUCACCCUUGAGGUGGAGUCGUCUGACACCAUUGACAACGUCAAGGCCAAGAUCCAGGACAAGGAGGGCAUCCCUCCGGACCAGCAGCGCCUCAUCUUUGCUGGCAAGCAGCUCGAGGAUGGCAGGACCCUUGCUGACUACAACAUCCAGAAGGAGUCCACCCUUCACCUUGUCCUCCGCCUUAGAGGAGGCAUGCAGAUCUUCGUGAAGACCCUCACUGGCAAGACCAUAACACUUGAGGUGGAAUCCUCCGACACCAUCGACAACGUCAAGGCCAAGAUCCAGGACAAGGAGGGCAUUCCCCCGGACCAGCAGCGCCUCAUCUUUGCUGGCAAGCAGCUGGAGGAUGGCCGCACCCUUGCUGACUACAACAUCCAGAAGGAGUCCACCCUUCACCUUGUCCUGCGUCUCCGUGGUGGUAUGCAGAUCUUUGUGAAGACCCUUACCGGCAAGACCAUCACUCUGGAGGUUGAGAGCUCUGACACCAUUGACAACGUCAAGGCCAAGAUCCAGGACAAGGAAGGCAUCCCCCCUGACCAGCAGCGCCUGAUCUUUGCUGGCAAGCAGCUGGAGGAUGGCCGCACCCUUGCCGACUACAACAUCCAGAAGGAGUCCACCCUCCACCUGGUGCUCCGCCUCCGUGGUGGUCAGUAA
Molecule: ribosomal RNA, 717 nt
Filed under: Triticum aestivum (bread wheat)
Lineage: Eukaryota; Viridiplantae; Streptophyta; Magnoliopsida; Poales; Poaceae
Description: partial small subunit ribosomal RNA
Source: RNAcentral